CAGUGUGUUCGGUGCACCGACGAUGGAGAAACCUACGCGAAAAGUAUUGAAUCGAUGACGUCACAAAAGACGUGUCAGUGGAAGGAGUAGACGGGGAUUGUGGAGGAGCAUGUUGAAAAAUGUCCGAUUACUUUAAUUUAUCGUGGGACGUGGAUAGUGGUAAACAGACGCGUUUAUGUUGACCGCGAGAGUCGAACAAUAAUACCGGUGUCGGUACAUGAUUAUCGUCGGGUCUCGGGCUAUCACGUGGACGAAAAGGACAUUUAGUUUUCGGACGAGCGGACACGCCGACCGAAAUAUAUCUUCGAAAAAUAAAACCAGUGGGACGGUGUUGUUUUGUUUCUGUUGGAUUUAUCAGGGAGCUGACCUCGCGUUACGCUGAAUUUUGCGAAUAACGCUGAAAGCGUAGGCUACAAGUCAUUACAUCCAUUACAUCAGAGGCCCCGGAGGACCUGGGCAACGAUGGAUGCUGCCAGACAGGAAUGAUAGAAUGCAAGAGGGUAGCACCGCCGUGGCGCUAGCGAUGGUGACUCCUGGCUACGAUCAGGACCCUGCAAGUGGGGUUGCCGAUUACACAACUCAUCAGGAUCAGGCACAAUUCGAAGCAGACAAGAGGGCAGUGUACAAACAUCCCCUCUUCCCGCUGCUAGCGUUACUAUUUGAAAGAUGCGAACAAGCAACGCAGGGCUCGGACAAUUCCACGUCCGAAAGCUUCAACAUGGACAUAGAGGCCUUCGUCCAACACCAAGAAAGAGACCGAAAGCCAUUUUUGAUCAAUGACCCCGAAAUUGACGGUUUGAUGAUCAAGGCGAUUCAGGUGCUGCGAAUUCACCUACUCGAAUUGGAAAAGGUUCAGGAGUUGUGCAAGGACUUUUGCAACAGGUACAUCACGUGCCUGAAGGGCAAGAUGCAGAGCGAAAAUCUGCUACGCAGCGAUUACAGUCACCAUGGGCACGAUAUGGGUCCAUCGAGUGGCAGCAAUGGCAGCAGUCCUUUGCAGGUGCUGUCUUCUACAGGCAAUGAUGUUGAGCCGGGAGCUAACGGAUUCCGAGUGAGCAGAGGCGACACCCUGUCGGAGAACGGUGGUGCGAGUCAAGUGGCUGCGCAAGAGGAAACCGGUAACGACAGGCCGCCUUCGGUGCGUUCAUCAUCCACCGCUCAACGCUCCAACAGAUCCUCUAGCCAGGACCAUGACGAUCCUCUAUCACCACCCACGGUACAUGGCAGCACGCCUCUUUCACAGAUCGGGGUACAUCCUUGUGCACCAGUCAACGAUAUGUAUCUUGGUCAAGAUGAUAUGGACUAUGUGAAUAUUGGCGACAGAAUAUAUUUAGAAGAAGCUGGCUAUUGGGGCCUUCUUGCAUUACAAGAGCGCGAGAAUGAAUACGUCGAUGUCGGGGAUGCUAACGACGAAAAGUAUUUUGAUAUCACUGUGGCAGGCUCUCCCUCCCCUGCACCCAGUGAAGAUGAAGACGAGGGGUGUGGCACUGGCACUGCUACUUCAAAUCAUAGUAGUAACCAUGGAGGUAGUCAUAGUAGCAUUAAGAAGGGAAGGCAGAAGCGGGGCGUCUUACCUAAGCAAGCUACGAGCAUUAUGCGAACUUGGCUCUUUGAACAUUUAGUUCAUCCAUAUCCUACGGAGGAUGAGAAGCGUCAGAUCGCGAGUCAAACAAACUUAACGUUGCUGCAAGUCAAUAAUUGGUUCAUCAAUGCUCGUCGACGAAUCCUUCAGCCGAUGCUCGACGGCGCCGGGGCUGACCCGGUGCAACGCGCCGGUAAACGUCAUAAAGUGUCGAAGCACGUCGUCCAACCUCAGCACGUGCAACAGCAACAAGCUGGCGGCUGGCAAUCCGAAGACUCCGGGAGCGAUUCAGGCUCCAGCGACGGUGAGGGGGGUGCCGAUAGAUCGAAAGAUGGUAACGAUAGCGACGAAGAUGAUCUUCACUGACCUCUGUCGAUCACCGAAACGUCAACCUCUUUACGGUACCUUCAAAUCCAGUUGCUCAUUACAGUAUUAAGGUGCAUUCGAGUACAUGUACGAGAACGGAUCUUCAGAUAAAAUCACUAAUGUCGUCACACAUUAGUGAUUGAUGUGCAAGCUCUAUCUAAAGUAUUUAAGGAGAUAGGAAUGGACCAAAAAAAAAAAAAUAAGACAGUAACGAGGAUUAAUUUUGGUACAAGAUCGAGUCCCACGCUGUUCUGUUCAAUCUUCCAUAUACUUCUAUGGGUAGCGGUACUAAAAAGUAAUGGUAAUAUUAUGUUUGAUUGUUCACCGUGUUGUAUAGUUGACUCUUUCUAAUGCAACAGUGUAAUUCGAGAGAGUAUUCUGUGACAAACUUUUGUAACAAUUCACGUUACGUUCGUAUAAACUUCCCAUACCUAUUGUGUUCUUGAGAAACAAUUUAUGAGAAGUCAAAGAAUUGCUUGUUUCUCUUGUUCAUUUAUAUUUACUCCAGUUUUAAGUUCAACUUUUCUUCAACUUUAUAUAUAAAUAAUUCCGUGUUACUUUUAUGUUCUAUUUGCUUCCAUGCUUUUUAUAUUUCUAAUGUUCGUGAAUUAUACAGAAGUUUACAAGCAGCACAAUUUGUUUCAUGUGUCGUAACGAGUAUUCCAUCUUGCCAAGAGUUCAUUCUAUAGUUUACGAAAGUGUCCACACAUAUACUGACAGAUAUUUGUACAAUUUGAUAUUCCAAAACACGGAUGUGUGUAUGUAUAUGCGCUAAUAUAAAACUAAAGGACUUUCAGAGGUCCAUUCCUAACUUAAGUGAAAUUUUAAGUCAUAAACUAAGCGUAUUACAUACUUACGUGCAUACUAAAAAGGAAGCAUAACUAAACAACUUGAAUAUUCUCUCUCGUGUACAUCAAGGUCCUGUUAAAUAAGUUGUUUAUUGAUAAUAAAUGCCAUCACGCUUGCAACAUGUGUUUCAGAUUUUUAUUCUAACUUUAAGGUACAUUGCCUCAUCCAUUUUCUAAUUGAAACUUUCUUGUUGUAAGAAAUGAAUUAAUUUUAGUUACUUAGUUAGUUGUAGUAAAUUUUAGUUAUUUAAAUGUAUCAUAUAAAAUACUUUAUUAUCAAUAAUAUGACCACGUAACUCGUAUAUGUAUGUGACAAAAACAGAUCGAUUGAGUUACUCUCGCAUACUUACAUGUUUAAAAAAAAUAUGAAAUUGCAAGUAAUUACAGGUACGUGUUUAUGAAAUAUCCUAGAUUUGAAUUAUGAAUCAAAGAAUUCAGGAAUAGUAUCUUUAUUGCACAUAUAAAUUUUUUUUAAUACAUUUGUAUAAAGAUAUCUUCAAUUGUUUAGAAAAUAACUUUUAGUUUCUGUAUUUUCAUUUGUAAUAUUGUUUACAUCAACUUUUAUGUCUAGUACCUUAUAGCUCCUAUAUAACGACCAAAAGAACAGUUAUUAAUUUAAAAAAUUAGUAUUAAAAAUGCAUGAAAGUAAAAAAACAUACUAUAAAUAUACAAACGUGCAAUGUACAUUUCAGAUAAAUUCCUUAAUAAUGGACUUACUCCUACUCUUUGUUUACAGAAUUUUAUUAUGGUUAAAAAUGCGUUUUAUGAAAUAAAUUGGUUAAGUUCUCUUAACGAAUGACAAAA
Hylaeus volcanicus is the source of this 3600-nucleotide RNA transcript. It is a transcript of the gene named homeobox protein PKNOX2-like, with no coding region annotated. The record is from RefSeq and is a predicted model, not a curated record. The transcript is spliced from 9 exons. Lineage: Eukaryota; Metazoa; Arthropoda; Insecta; Hymenoptera; Colletidae.